Macrosteles quadrilineatus (aster leafhopper) is the source of this 308-nucleotide long non-coding RNA. RefSeq lists it as uncharacterized. The transcript has 3 exons. The record is from RefSeq and is a predicted model, not a curated record. NCBI's taxonomy places the organism in Eukaryota, Metazoa, Arthropoda, Insecta, Hemiptera, Cicadellidae.
UCCGAUGCACAGGUGUCUGUAUAAGUACUUAAGCUCAGAGAGAAAAAAGCACACUUAGUUCUGCUUCGUAUCUUUCACUACAGCGGUACCCUCUGUUCCAACACUAUCACUGAAAUGGCUGUCUCCUUCAAGGUUGUCAUCGUCGCCCUUGGCGUGGCAUACUUCUUCGCACUCUCCCAAGCCACCCCUUUACUGGAAGGUGUGCCCAUAGUCGGUGGUCUUUUGGGAGGCAAACUAUAAAUCUCUAGUUCAAUCUUUGCCACCUCUAUUCAGCUUCUAUGUAACCAAUAAAUAACUGUUUCAAGUAA